AUUGAACGCUGGCGGCAGGCCUAACACAUGCAAGUCGAGCGGAUGAAGGGAGCUUGCUCCUGGAUUCAGCGGCGGACGGGUGAGUAAUGCCUAGGAAUCUGCCUGGUAGUGGGGGAUAACGUCCGGAAACGGGCGCUAAUACCGCAUACGUCCUGAGGGAGAAAGUGGGGGAUCUUCGGACCUCACGCUAUCAGAUGAGCCUAGGUCGGAUUAGCUAGUUGGUGGGGUAAAGGCCUACCAAGGCGACGAUCCGUAACUGGUCUGAGAGGAUGAUAAGUCACACUGGAACGGGGACACGGUCCAGGCUCCUACGGGAGGCAGCAGUGGGGAAUAUUGGACAAUGGGCGAAAGCCUGAUCCAGCCAUGCCGCGUGUGUGAAGAAGGUCUUCGGAUUGUAAAGCACUUUAAGUUGGGAGGAAGGGCAGUAAGUUAAUACCUUGCUGUUUUGACGUUACCAACAGAAUAAGCACCGGCUAACUUCGUG
RNAcentral lists this ribosomal RNA (484 nucleotides) under uncultured bacterium. Its description in RNAcentral is "partial 16S ribosomal RNA". It matches the Rfam family "Bacterial small subunit ribosomal RNA", at positions 30 to 507 of the family's 1533-position model. The record is from RNAcentral.